This 240-nucleotide long non-coding RNA is filed under the name Gossypium barbadense (sea-island cotton). Its description in RNAcentral is "long non-coding RNA (GBAR_LNC000475)". The record is from RNAcentral. Lineage: Eukaryota; Viridiplantae; Streptophyta; Magnoliopsida; Malvales; Malvaceae.
ACAUAUACGUAAGCUUACAAAUCAUAAUCCUUACCUUGUACUGGCACAUCUAGCUCAACCCAACCCAUACUCAAAUCAUAAGGCUUUUGGGCAGAAUAUGCACUAAUACAUAAGAAUAUUUCAUCGCAUACUUUAUUAUACAAACAUACCAUUACGAAUUAGAUCAUUCUCAUAUUUGGAGUUAUAAUAUUAAUCACAUUUACCUACCUCUUUGAUACUAAUAAUUCACCUCGAAAUCAC